Non-coding RNA from Aspergillus flavus AF70, 137 nucleotides. The record is from Rfam. Lineage: Eukaryota; Fungi; Ascomycota; Eurotiomycetes; Eurotiales; Aspergillaceae.
GGCGAGAUGGCCGAGCGGUCUAAGGCGGUUAGUACCACUAUCAACCUCGUAUAUCAAUGAAUGUUCACUAAUAAUCUCUCAGCUGGAGUAAGGUUCCAGUCUCGAAAGGGGCGUGGGUUCAAAUCCCACUCUCGUCA